This 994-nucleotide long non-coding RNA is filed under the name Helianthus annuus (common sunflower). The record is from RNAcentral. Lineage: Eukaryota; Viridiplantae; Streptophyta; Magnoliopsida; Asterales; Asteraceae.
AUGCGUAUACAAAUAGAAUUGUAUCUCCACUAUUGUACAAUAGUAACUAGUAAGGCUCUUGGAAUCACAUGUGAUGGUCUUCUAUAUAUUCUUUCUAGUGUUGCUAGUGUGUCAUUGGUGUAACCGUCACAUGCGUGAAGCUUUUAAGGGGCGGGAGGGGGGCGGCCGACCCUUCGAACUUUUCGCUCAGUAGUGGAGAGUACGUAGUUUUCGUAUAGAAAUUUUUGAUUAUACACGUUUUCGACCCCCGGAGUUUAUAGAAAUUUUUAGAUCCGACGACUUCCGCUCUAUCAAAAUUCUCUAGCUUCACCACAACCGUGGUUAGGUGGUGAGAACUUAAACUUAUGACACGUGAACAACACUAGAAAGCUUAUAUAGAAGACCAUAACAUGUAAUUCCAAGAGACCAAAUGGGUUACCGAUGACACAAGCAGUGGCCAACCGAAGUGAUGUAGUGUGACUAUUUAUUGUGCAAAACGUGUAUGUCCGGACACGCUAAUCGGCCCACACCAGGCAGCCUCAGGCCCAACAUGUGAGAGGCAAUAUUCCUAGCAUUAUGGAUAAGCAGGAACCUUGGUCGUCGAUUUUACUCUUGUCCUGACCUGGAAAGGUGUCUGGACAUCAUACCUGGUUUGCUUAGGGGUAAGAACAACUUAGAAGAAGCUAAUGUCAAUUUGGAAUAAGCAAACAAUUUUCUUGAAGGCCCACUGAAAGAAAGUGAAGUAAAAUCAAGCAAUUUGAAGAAGUGUUUGGUUUUUAGUUGGACUGGUUUUAUCUUGUAUGUAUUGUUGUUUUACGCUAACAGUUAUGUAAUGCAUGUAACAUGAUGUAAUGUAGGUUAUUAGGGUGUUUUUGUUAUGGAGGUUAUGGUCAUGAUGUACAAUCCAACUAUUAAUGUUAUUCAAGUUAUGUAAUGCAUGUAACAUGAUGUAAUGUAGGUUAUUAGGGUGUUUUUGUAAUGGAGGUUAUGGUCAUGAUGUAUAAUCCAACUAUUA